CCCCAAAAAAGGCAAACAAACUCUGCCUUAUAGUUUUCUAGAACUGACUAUGUUGCAGGUGGUUUAAUACCAAGUGUCCUUUUGUUUAGAAAUUAAGGCCUCUUCCUUAUGGCUAGGCAGACAGAUCUGUGAAUAAUGGACUUUUUUCCCCGAUACUAGAAACUUUUUUUAAAGCUAUUCAGAGAGACCUUGGCAAAUAUUUCUCUGUCAGGCAGUAAUUGAAUAAAGUCCCAAGUUACUUGAUGCUGUCCCUCCCUUUUCCCCUGAGUUUAUUGUAUGCUUUGCUUUUUGCCUAUAAAUACCACAGAGAUAGCUAGACAGGGAAACCUUUUUUGAGAGGUGAUAUUGUCAUCUGGCAGCUACCCAGUAAGGGCCUAUUGGCUGUAAGUCAGUGCUGAGCUUUCCUGAGAGAAGGAAAGUCUAAUGUUAGUUAAAAAAACAAACAAACAAACAACAACAACAAAAAAAAAAAACCCGACAACAAAAAACCUAAAACCUCACUGUCUUGUGUUUGCUGUUUAAAGGGAAAGGAACAGAGAAUGUUUUAUCUUCCUGUAUAAGCAGACACGGACAGACUUUAAUGCUGCAGCUGAAAGCACUUCCUAAUCCCUUUUAUCACUGGGGAUUCUGUAGAGCUGUGGAUGGUACUCAGUGGCAGAUAGACAAGAGCCAAGCAAACUGGCAGCCGAAGUGCCAAGAGCAGUUCUCGGUGUUUGCCUGUGCAGUGAGCUCCACGUGCUGGGAGUAGACACUUCUCAGUACUCUGCAUCUGCUUGACUCUGAGCCUGCAUCUUCCUUGACUCUGUGCUUCAGCUGCAACGCUGCAGUUAAAACGGGUAGGCCAGAGAGGUUUGUGAUGUUCACUUGUAGCUACAAGAUGUCUUUCAUGAGAUUGUAACUGCUAUAUGAGCUGCCAUCCCUUUCUCCCAUCUAUCUCAUUUUUUGACCAUUCAUACUCUGAUGCCUACAUCUUGAACACAGCAGUGAGAUUUACCCCAGUUUCUCUUACACUGUAUUUUCCCAAGAUAUUUCUGGUUUGCACCAGGAUGAAGAGGAUCAGAACUCACGUGAGCCGGGAGAAGGAAAUAAUAGACUGGGAUGAGAAGUGUCUGGAAAAAGGAAAGCUCAUCUUCAUAUCCAGAAGGAGGGAGAGAAACUGUGCCAGAAUGAAUGACUGCUGUAGAGUAGAGCACAUGAGCCAGUUCAGCCUAUGUAAAAUAGGAGUUUAUCAUAUCACUGAAAGGAGUUCUCAUCACCCUGGGAAGAAGAAAUUUCACUGCAAUUCAGACAUCUUUAUGACAUAUUAGUGUACCAUGGAUUCAGACAUGCCAUGUCCUACCAACCCAAGAAACUUCAACCAGAACUGAACUGUGCUGGAGGACAGGAAAUCAUGGGAAGCAGGAGGACUUGAAUUAAGAGGAAGGGAUUUGUUUUUCUUCUGUUUGGAUACCAGUGCCUGUUGAGCUACGGUGACAUACUGUACAAUCUGUGCUUCUCAUUAUGCAACUAAGCAAAAGGAAGACCUGCAAAAGAUUAAAGUAAAAGUGAGUAGACUGAAGUUAUUCUUAUUUUGAGUUCAGUUUCUUUUCCCUUACUCUGUUUUGACAGG
RNAcentral lists this long non-coding RNA (1609 nucleotides) under Calidris pugnax (ruff). RNAcentral's name for it is "lncRNA (ENSCPUG00000016866.1)". The record is from RNAcentral. Lineage: Eukaryota; Metazoa; Chordata; Aves; Charadriiformes; Scolopacidae.